This 497-nucleotide ribosomal RNA is filed under the name uncultured bacterium. RNAcentral's name for it is "partial 16S ribosomal RNA". It matches the Rfam family "Bacterial small subunit ribosomal RNA", at positions 28 to 507 of the family's 1533-position model. The record is from RNAcentral.
GAUGAACGCUGGCGGCGUGCCUAAUACAUGCAAGUCGAGCGAACGGACGAGAAGCUUGCUUCUCUGAUGUUAGCGGCGGACGGGUGAGUAACACGUGGAUAACCUACCUAUAAGACUGGGAUAACUUCGGGAAACCGGAGCUAAUACCGGAUAAUAUUUUGAACCGCAUGGUUCAAAAGUGAAAGACGGUCUUGCUUUCACUUAUAGAUGGAUCCGCGCUGCAUUAGCUAGUUGGUAAGGUAACGGCUUACCAAGGCAACGAUGCAUAGCCGACCUGAGAGGGUGAUCGGCCACACUGGAACUGAGACACGGUCCAGACUCCUACGGGAGGCAGAAGUAGGGAAUCUUCCGAAAUGGGCGAAAGCCUGACGGAGCAACGCCGAGUGAGUGAUGAAGGUCUUCGGAUCGUAAAACUCUGUUAUUAGGGAAGAACAUAUGUGUAAGUAACUGUGCACAUCUUGACGGUACCUAAUCAGAAAGCCACGGCUAACUACGUG